CAUGAUUCUUCAUGAUUUCACUGAAGUGAACAAUUUGACUUCAGUGUGGGUUUGAAACUCCUCUGUCCACUGCUGUCCACCACAAAGCCGUCAUUAGUGAAUGAAAUGGAAGUCAUGGUGUGGCUGUGUUUCUCUCUUCUGCUCUGUUUUCUUGGUCAAUGCCAUAGACAAACUCAGUUUAUAUGAAAGAUUAUAAAGGAAAGUUGGCAUGCGAAACUAAAAAAUGGCAAAUAAGUGCAGAGUCUGAUAACAGGAUUGAUCUGAACUGCUCACAAUGUGAAUACAUUGAAAUUAAGCCUGAUGAUGAUGAUGAUGAUGGUGAUGGUGAUGAUGGUGAUGAUGAUGGUGAAGACAAUGACAAGCAAAAAUUUUGCAAACAGUCAGAUCCUGACUGUGAACUGAAAGUAAAGAGUGGAUUUGUUGCCUGUGUUAAAUCUCUGGAUUCUGGAUUCCUUUUUCCAUUCAAACCGUCUCCCAACAUCAUCCAUUCAUGCAUGGUUGCUGUUCCA
This is a long non-coding RNA of Colossoma macropomum (tambaqui), 509 nucleotides long. RefSeq lists it as uncharacterized. The transcript is spliced from 3 exons. Lineage: Eukaryota; Metazoa; Chordata; Actinopteri; Characiformes; Serrasalmidae. The record is from RefSeq and is a predicted model, not a curated record.